GCCGAAGUGGUGGAAUUGGCAGACGCGCCGGACUCAAAAUCCGGUGGAGUAAAAUCCGUGCGGGUUCGACCCCCGCCUUCGGCACCA
Molecule: transfer RNA, 87 nt
Filed under: Fervidicella metallireducens AeB
Lineage: Bacteria; Bacillati; Bacillota; Clostridia; Eubacteriales; Clostridiaceae
Also listed under: 1 other name
Description: tRNA-Leu
Rfam family: tRNA
About the family: Transfer RNA (tRNA) molecules are approximately 80 nucleotides in length. Their secondary structure includes four short double-helical elements and three loops (D, anti-codon, and T loops).
Source: RNAcentral